GUGAAUCAUCAAAUUUUUGAACGCAAAUUGCACUCUCUUCGGAGAGUAUGCCUGCUUGAGGGUCAGCCUAAAAAAAAUCGACAUAGUUGCUGUUUCGCGGUGGCAUUCGUCGGAAAUUGGGUCAUCUUAAACCUUUGGGUUUAAGCGGCUUAAAAUUUUCUUUACGAUUUCACUAACGGUUCUAAGAUUUUACUUCUUACCCGUUUAAGGUAUCGAACUUUAUUAGACGUGGCCGUUCAUUCCGAU
This 246-nucleotide unclassified non-coding RNA is filed under the name Glomus sp. RNAcentral describes it as "partial contains 5.8S ribosomal RNA and internal transcribed spacer 2". The stretch from base 1 to 65 matches the Rfam family "5.8S ribosomal RNA", at positions 84 to 154 of the family's 154-position model. The record is from RNAcentral. Lineage: Eukaryota; Fungi; Glomeromycota; Glomeromycetes; Glomerales; Glomeraceae.